Molecule: long non-coding RNA, 4787 nt
Filed under: Ixodes scapularis (black-legged tick)
Lineage: Eukaryota; Metazoa; Arthropoda; Arachnida; Ixodida; Ixodidae
Description: uncharacterized LOC120841005
Source: RNAcentral
UACAAAAUAGACAAUCACUCUUGUUUCCGAAAAACACUGUCGGAAACAACAAGAGUGAUUGUUUGUUUAUUUUGAAGUGGCCUCAAUUUGUAGUUGUCAGAAAAACUGCUAGAGGGCGCUCAUUACUGGAAAAAGCUCCAUUGUAGAGCAGUGCGCUGGCCAUGGAAAUGGGCAGCACUGGCUUCCUCAUGGUGCCAUUGUCUAGCACGUUAGAGUGGCCAAGCGGGCACAGGAGGCAUGCGUGAAGCAGGCAACGUCCAUCCAGGCAACGCACGGGGGAAGAAGCAAGGAAGGCGGCAUUACACGCUUACUGGGGAAGGCGGCCGCGCUGUUGUUGCCCUGUGCCUGCAGCGCAGCCGAGGCCACGCCUCCGCCCGGCAGCAAGCCUGGGGUGCCCAGCCGCAUGCGUUGGCAGAGGCAGAGCACCCCGACGCACAGCACCAGGCAGGACACGAGCACCACCAGCGUCAGCGUCACAAACAGGCUCACGCCCAGGCCCAGGAUCUGGCUGCUCGAUGUUUCGUCUGCGUGAAAGGCCGUUUGUCCGCUUAGCGCAAGACAUAUGGGCCACCAAAAAUGCUCUCAAGAGAGCCUUCAUGUGGCACGGUGCAGUGCUGCAAGGCAGUUCGAAUCCUCAUUCUCCACACACUCGAAAAAAAAAAGGAGGAAAAUGAUUAUGCUUUUUAGAAAUGCGUUAUUAGAAGUACAGUAGCAAUAAGCAAUAGGAUGUGCACUGUGGAAACAAUUGUAAUCAGUGUUUGCUUUUUUUAACAACUCGUAGUAUGUUUUCAACCUGUUCAACUUUUUGCUCCAUAUAUAAAAACCUAACACUGGGAACAGAUAAAAAGAAAAAAAACGAAACCGUGUGUGUGUUGCUUGUCCAUUUGUUUUUAUAUGUUCCCAGUCUGGGGUUUUUCCUGCGUUUUUCCACUCUUCGUUGCUUUUUGUUGCAAAGCUGGUAGCAAUUUACUGGCGUUCCAAGACCUGAAAGCUGUGGAUUAUUGUUGAAACACGAGACUGAUGGGAGGAGAGAGGACGAAAGGUCUUACUCCCAUUUAGACGUGGGGCCCUGCCCAACAAGUGACUUGUGCGGGUGCUACAGAAAACACAGGUGCAAGCCCGGUACACAGCCUUGAGUUGAAACAGAUUGCUUCUAGAAAGUUGCAAGCAGAAACCUGUCUUUUAUCCAGAGAUGUAUGGAUAAAACCCUGUAUUGGGUACAUUGUAGGUCUGCGAGGUACACACAUCCACUGCGUGACAAUGAGUGAUUAGGACAGGGCUACCUACCUAAACAACUGGUGCUAUUGUUUGCUCUACCUUAAAUAGGGAACGACCUAAGGCCUCGCCAGUUGGCAAACGUCUGCAAGUGACCAAAAAGCGCACCAAUGCAGGAGGCGUAGCCGGUCUCGUCACUGUUGUCCCCGCAGUGGUUCACUCCGUCGCAGGUCAAGUUGCUCGAGAUGCAGAAGGUGUUGCGGCACUCGAAUUCCCUGCACUUGAGGUCGUGCUUGAUGUCUGCAGCCGCCAAAGAAAGAAAAUGACAAAUGAGCUAGUCAACUUCCAAACAAAAACAAAGCGCUUUGUGGUCCCCCACCUUUGUCUUUUUGUGGUGCUUUUCGAAGCACUGCAAGAAUAAACUGCACCCAAAUUAUUCCCAAUUAUUCUGCUUGCCAAGUGAUACUACUGCUAGUUAUAUUCUGAUUUUGUUAAUCUGGCGUCGAGCUCGUGCUGAGACACAGCCGUAGUCACCAUUUCAAGAAGGGUCGGCUAAUCUAUCUUUUUUCAUCCCUUAUUAUCGAGUGUUUCAAACAUUCAUAGAUUUUAAAAAUCGGCAACACAUGCAAUCUAAAUGAAACCCAUUAAAUAUAUUCGUGACAUAAUUACGCCUUAUAUCUUGUAUGCACCUUUAAUGUGUGGUGUGGAGAAUUUUCCUAAGAAAAUGAAACUUGCAAAAGGGUCAGUGCUGUGUAGGAACAGGAAUGCCCUGUCCAAUUACAGACCUCUUAUGCCUAUUUUUUCUAAGGGAUUGGAAAAGCUUAUUUUGUGUCCUUUAGAUAUGUUCUUCGUUAAACACACACCAUACUUUCCGAGUCUCAGUUUGGCUUUAGGAAGGGAAGAUCUAUAGAAUCUGCACUCCUCUUACAAAAGGAGGUAAAUAACACUGAAAACAAACUUUUGAUAUUAGGCAUUUCUAUAGGUAAAGCCUUUGAUUGUAUUAAUCACCAACUACUUGCUGACAAACCAUUAUGGCAUUCAUGGUUCAUUUGUUUCACUUUUGUCUUCAUGUUUAGAAGGAUGUAGGCAGUCUGGUCAUUUAUUGCCUCUUCUGCCGAUCAGAUAUGGUGUCCCCCAAGGUAGCUUAUUGGAGUCCUUACUCUUUAAUAUAUAUAAAUGAUAUUACUAUAAUAUUGACAAAGGCACUCAUCUUAUAAUGUAUGCAGACGACACCAAGUCUGUUCUUUUGCGAUGUGGAUGCUGAUAACUUAAUAACCGAAGGAAAUAUCAUGCUCUCCAAAUUUGCAAAAUUAAUUAAACAAAAACCAAAGCAAUUUUAUUUCUAUCAAUCAAUAAACAAGGUGUCCUAAACAAAAACUUGCCAGUUUAAUUGUUUAAUUUUAUGCUGAUUGAGCUGGUGAAAAAUCAUAAAACAUUAGGCAUUAUAUUUUCAGAAAAUUUGUCUUGAGAAAGUUAUGCAAAAUUGGCGGUGUCCUUGCUAGACGUCGUGCGAUUCUCCCCGAAAAUAUUAGAUUACAAAUAUAAUGUGCAUUAUUUAAAUCUCAAGAACUAAAUUAUUGCCAUCUUGUCUGGGAUACAACAACAAAUCAAAUCUUAAUAGAAUACUAUUACUUCAAAAGAAAGUUUUGCGCUCUAUCGGAAACGUUUAUUCUUUUAGAAAUACAAAAUUAUCAACAUAUAUCAAUUGUAUGAAUAUCUCCUGACUAGGUCACCUAGUUUUUUAUCCCCCGAAGUCAUUAGUUUUUUAAGCAUACAUUAAAUUUAACCAGAAAUACACCCACUAUCUGAACCCACUCCUUAGAGGAAUCCAAUGUCUCUCAUUAUCAUACAAAUUAGUUUGCAAUCCCUCCAUUAGAACCAGUGUUCCUUGUUUUCUGAAUUUAAUUUUCAUCAUAUUCUGAGUUUAUGCGAGUUUUUUUUUUUUUUUUUUUUUUUUUUUCAUAUUCCCAAUUUUCCAAAAUUCAGAGUUUAAUUUUGAAGUGUUUUCUAUUUUUCGAAAAUAAAUAAUAUCUGGAUGUAAUGUGUGCUAGAUUCAAAAGAAUGCACUUGUAUCAAACAAUAUUUGGCUGGAUUUGGCGUUGGUGCCCCUGCCAUUGGCAAUACUAAUGUGUCCCACGACAGAACUUGCAAACAAGUGUAGCUUUGAUAAAUGUUGAUGGCUUAAAAUCACUAAACCCCUGGAGGUAGUCGCUGGGAAGCCCAUCCUAUUCGAUCGCCCUACGCCACGUGGGGUGGAGUGGUAAAGGGUGUAAUAUAGAAGCUUCAACUGUCCACCCCCUAUUCCCCCAUUAUGAACUCUAUAUGGUUCAUAGCUUUCACUGUUACAAAAACGCAACCCUUCCUUCCUGGUAGCACGAUAGUAUGGUGCAAGCUAGAAACCGGAGCAGUGGCUUUUGCUAUGAUCCAGAAGUACAAUGAUCACCUGUUGUCCUGAAUGAACUUUGACGAGUUAAACGGCAAGACAUCUCUUGCCAAUGAUAGGAGAUUUUAAAGGAAACUGGGAACCUAACCAAACUUAACUUAAAUCCGAAUUGAUGAAAAUUUUACCGGCAGAUGUUUUUCAGAUUUAUCCGAGAACAUGGAGCCCUAAUUAUAACCUACUUACAUUACUCAAUAAAUAUUGCAUAGAUAUAUCAUUGACAUUUAUAGUUAAAGAAUGGAAAUCACCAUACCUACUUUUUGUAUAAUAUAUAGGGUGUUUGAAAUGCCGAGGCUGGAUUUAUAAUGGGCCGUAAAAAUCAGUGCCUGCACGUAGCAGUCUAAACUUUUCGUCAAAGGUGUAUUUCGCAGGUGGGUUUUACCUUGUAAAAUUACAAGGCGUAGCGCCCUUUCUGUUAAAAAGAAAAAAAUGGGGCCGAAAAACUUGCCAGGGUUAACGGCAGAUGGCAACGCAGACAAUAGUCUAGUGGCGGGGUAUGUUUGGCACGCAUAUUGAUAGACGACGCUACCUCCCAUUCCAGCUUGCUUUAAAAAAAUAUUGAGACUGCCCUUGACGACCGCGGUCUAUUAAAAUGAACCUAAUCUUUUUGUAAUGUGCCUUUGGUUUAAAAAUAAAUGGGGACAAUGAUAGCAAAAGUUGAAGUAACAAAAAUAAAAUGUGGUUGCAUUGCUGCCGACGGAUUUCGUCUGCUUUCUUUCGCUGGGGCAUGGUCAAGCUUCCAAAGAUUUGCUUCCUUUCCACAACUCGGCAUCUGUACAUGCAGAUGCAAAUAAAAUUAUUUGCGAAGAAAACUGAUGUGAACCAAAAAGCUUUAAAAAAGCAGUGUCUCUCUGCCCAUGCCCAAAGGUGACGUAUGAGAGAUGCAGCGUGCUUUGGUGGCAUGCAGAACGAUGCACUGCACCCAAGAAUUAUCUCCCAAGACUGGAAGGCACAAUUGAAAUGCUGGGAACCUCUGAGGUGACAAAAUGCCUGCUUCGAUAGCUAUCCGGUCGUCCAAGGGCAAAUAGUCCCCCUUGGUUUUCGGAUAGCAAAGUCCAGCUCUAAACUGCACUUUGAAAAAGAGUGUUCCCAAUUUGCCUCGUGCUCAACAUAAAGUGGUACCAGGAAGAGA